Molecule: non-coding RNA, 675 nt
Organism: Osmia lignaria (orchard mason bee)
Lineage: Eukaryota; Metazoa; Arthropoda; Insecta; Hymenoptera; Megachilidae
Source: RefSeq, a predicted model, not a curated record
CUUCAAAAAUAUGUUUCAUGAAAAAAUACUAUUGUAUUUGAAUAUCUUCAAAUUUUCGGGAGAAUAACAAUUUUACUCUGAUACAUUUGUGAUCGAAUCAAACGAACACAAUUUCAACUGAUUUUAUUAUAGAUUAAAAUUCGUCCGAAGAAUAUUCUUUGAAUACUGCAUUAUAACAAUUCGAAAUUAUACAAACCGCGUAUCACAAUAACCACUAAACUAUUGAAUAAAGCAAGAGAUGGUGGAAUCAAUGGAAACGGAUAUAAUAUAAUGGUAACAAGAUCAUUACAAAUUUUUCCAAUUGUAUUGAAACGUGGAUUAUGACGGUAGCCUGUGACUACAGAUAAAAGAAGACUGGACAUGCCAUUGUUCUCGAGAGGACAUGAUUUUGGGGUCCCAGACACCCUCAGCCGCAGUUAGGUCGACGUGUACGGAACACAGUCGGUAUCACAAUCGUGCCUGUUUUACCAGAAUGGAGAGUGAAGUCUUAUGCAAGAUUUCCCCAUGUUAAAAAAAAAAUAUUAAAGGUAUCUGACUGCAGCACCGUCAUCAACCGUUCGACAUAGAACGAAAUGAAACAGCAUCAGUCUUAUAACGACCGCCGAGGGGUGCAGAUCUACCUGCUAAACAUACUUACUUGUAUCUAUAUUUUAUUUUCUACUUACGUUCAUUUAA